Molecule: small nuclear RNA, 108 nt
Organism: Octodon degus (degu)
Lineage: Eukaryota; Metazoa; Chordata; Mammalia; Rodentia; Octodontidae
Source: Ensembl
GUGCUUGCUUUGGUAGCACAUAUACUAAAAUUGGAACAAUACAGGGCAGAUUAGCAUGGACCCUGCGCAAGGAUGAUAUAGUUGCUCAGAUCGCAUAUAUAAGUAUAG